Long non-coding RNA from Brassica rapa (field mustard), 1339 nucleotides. RefSeq lists it as uncharacterized. Lineage: Eukaryota; Viridiplantae; Streptophyta; Magnoliopsida; Brassicales; Brassicaceae. The record is from RefSeq and is a predicted model, not a curated record.
UCAAAGCAUUUUGUCUCUCCACGUCAUUUGUCUUGUCCCAAACCUUUUCUUCUUCGUUUAGGUUUUUUGUCCGCCUUCUUUGUUUAUCGCGAAGUUAGGGAGAUAUCAUUAUUGACGAAGAACUCGAGAUCAGAUCGGAAGUGGUAGCGUUGGCGGCGGAUUCAGAGAUCAUCACAGGUUCGACGAGUCGACUAGACCGAUGAUCGAUCCCAUCACAGGUUCGACGAGUCGACGAGUCGACUAGACCGAUGAUCGAUCCCAGCCCAGAUUCUUCUUCGAUUGUCUCUUCAGAAGGUUUCCGUAACGGGUCCGCGACAAAGCCGAGUCUUGAAUCGUUUGAGCAGAAGGAUAUGAUCUUGGGUGGUUGUGGAUGGUGUUGAAUUGAUGGAGGAGGAGUAUCAAGUCCAGAUCCGACAGAGAAUGCAGCUGCAGAUGGCUGGCACAAGUUAUCGUUGCUAUUGAGAACCCACUAGACAUCAUUGUGCAGUCUGCUAGGCCCUAUGGUCAGAGAGCUGUCUUAAAGUUUGCUCGGUACACUGGAGCUAAUGCCAUUGCUGGAAGGCACAAUCCUGGUUUCUCGAAGACAUUAGUUGUUGCCAUCAUCAAUGAUAACCACCAUAAACGUUACUGUAACAACCGGAGCCACCUCGAACCAUCUUGUCGUUCUUCAUACGGAGGGAUAGUUUCCAUCCAUGGAGCUUCAUUUGGUACUCUCGAUCUUGUUACGUAAUGAAAGGAAGAGAACAAACAGUUUUUUUUUUUUGCAAGAAUUAUGUGAUUUUAAAUUCUUUUUAUCAGUAAUUCAAAUUUUUUUUAUCAAAUGCUUUAAUUUUUUUGGUUAUAUCCGAAAUACCUGAACCCUACCGGAAGUCCAGAAAUAUCCGAACAGAUUUUAUGCUUCUAUUCCGAAAUAUCCGAACAUCGAAAUACCCGAUGCGAACCCGAACGCCCACCCCUAAUGCAACAAUUCCUCACAAAGUAUCCCCACCUUAUCUAAGACCCAAAGCUUCGGGAAAGAACCUAAUCAUUUGGACGAAUUUAGCUUCGGCAACUUCAUGUUAAGAUGUUAUCAACUUAUCAUUGAUAUUUUGAUUAACUUAUAAGAAUUUUACUUCUAUUUAAAUUAAUUAGAAUAUAACGUCUAUGUUACAACAUAUUUUUACAAUAUAUUUCUACCAAACAUAAGUUACCAUAAGAAUAAAUGAGACAAAAUUCAUAGCAGAAAAAAACAUAAACAAUACAUUGGAAACAAAAUUUCUAAACAUUUUGGAAAUACUUUGAAUUUAAAAGAGACAAAAAAAAUUUCAAAAUUUUAGAAUGUUUAAUUUCUUUAGAAAUU